AUGCAGGGUCAGGAUUGGUGCUGCUACCAGACAAGGCCGGAAGGUUACAUGGAUCAGCGCAUCUGGAUGUGGCACCCUUUGAUGGCAGCAACCGCACAUUCGCUGUUCGCUCGUUCAACAGUUACCAAUGAAGAUGAUACACCGAAUGCAAAUGAAGGGGCCACGCCAAAUGGCUCGGAGAAUCAAGAAGCUGGACCCAACGGUAGUGCGCUGGGUACUACUGUUCAAGAUCACAGCCAAGUUGCCGGCAGGGAUGUGAUAGAGUUAGAGGGUACAGAGCCAAAUGCUGACGCGCUAACUGUCGUCACAGUAGAUGCCAAUCAAGUAGUUCAACCCAAUGGGAGUGCGUUGGAUAAUAGCGGUCAAGAUGGCGUUCAAGUUAGCAGCACAGAUGUGAUAGUGUUAGAAGAUACCGAGCCAAAAUGCUGGCACACUGACUAUCAUUGA
RNAcentral lists this ribosomal RNA (447 nucleotides) under Triticum aestivum (bread wheat). RNAcentral describes it as "partial small subunit ribosomal RNA". The record is from RNAcentral. Lineage: Eukaryota; Viridiplantae; Streptophyta; Magnoliopsida; Poales; Poaceae.